RNAcentral lists this ribosomal RNA (254 nucleotides) under uncultured bacterium. RNAcentral describes it as "partial 16S ribosomal RNA". It matches the Rfam family "Bacterial small subunit ribosomal RNA", at positions 524 to 776 of the family's 1533-position model. The record is from RNAcentral.
UACGAAGGUGGCAAGCGUUGUUCGGAUUUACUGGGCGUAAAGGGCGCGUAGGCGGCCACUGCAAGUCGGUUGUGAAAUCUCCGGGCUUAACCCGGAAAGGUCAAUCGAUACUGCAGGGCUAGAGUGCAGAAGGGGCAACUGGAAUUCUCGGUGUAGCGGUGAAAUGCGUAGAUAUCGAGAGGAACACCUGCGGCGAAGGCGGGUUGCUGGGCUGACACUGACGCUGAGGAGCGAAAGCGUGGGGAGCGAACGGG